CUGAACACAUAGCAAGUCUAGACGCGAAAGUUACUUACGCGAAACUGAGAUAGCAGCAGGCUGUGACUGUGGCUGAGUAACCCCUUUUAAAUUGCCCAGAUAGUGAUUCCACAUCAUUCGUGAUAACUGAGCAUGCUAAUACCGCGAUACUCCCUACGGGUGAAAGCAUGAGAUCUUCGGACCUUGAGCUAUUGUAUAUACCCGCGUACGGAUUACUUAAUUGCCAGAGGUAAUGGCUCACCACAGCGAACGCAUCCGUAUCUGGUCUGAGUAGGAUGAUCAAGCCACACUGGGAGCUGAGUACACGUGGCCAGACUCCUACGGUCAGGCAGCAGUGGGGAAUAUUGCACAAUGGGCGCAAGCCUGAUCCACACAUGCCGCGUGUGUGAAGAAGGCUCUAGGGUUGUAAAGCACUUUCAGUAGGGAGGAAGGCCUUAAAGUUAAUACCUCUGAGGAUUGACGUUACCUACAGAAGAAGCACCGGCUAACUCCGUGCCAGCAGCCGCGGUAAUACGGAGGGUGCGAGCGUUAAUCGGAAUUCUCUGGGCGUAAAGCGCGCGUAGGCGGUUAGUUAAACUGGAUGUGAAAGCCCCGGGCUCAACCUGGGAACUGCAUUCAGAACUGGCUGGUCUAGAUGUCACGAUGAGAGGUGUAUGUGGAAUUUCCUGUGUACGCGGUGAAAUGGGUAGAUAUAGGAAGGAACAUCAGUGGCGAAAGGCAGUACUGACCUGGCUCGUCUACUGAACGCUG
Molecule: ribosomal RNA, 750 nt
Filed under: Pseudomonas sp. J480
Lineage: Bacteria; Pseudomonadati; Pseudomonadota; Gammaproteobacteria; Pseudomonadales; Pseudomonadaceae
Description: bacterial SSU rRNA
Rfam family: Bacterial small subunit ribosomal RNA
Source: RNAcentral